AGCUAUGGCUCACUGCCCCUCAGGGGGCAGGGGGCUGGUGAUUCCUGAGGGAGCCCUGCCCCCUUCCAGGGUGAAUUUUCCUAAGUCACCAUGGAGAACCAGCAGCCCAGAAUCAGUGCCCUGCCAGGCAGAAUUGCUUGGCCAUAACAAAGAUCCAUUGCCUUUCUGAUGACACCCAGCACCUCGGAUUCUGUAUACACGGGAGGUGAUUUAAGCAUCUUACUGCCACCCUGAAAUCUGGGGUCCUUUAUCCUGGCAGCAUCUAGACCCGUAACGCCCACUUCAGAAUGGGAGGGAGGAUGUCUGCUGCCCUGUCGUCUCCACACCCGAGGAAUGUCCGUGUGUGUGUGUGUGUGGUGUGCACAGCGGGCUGCACACAGCGGGCUCCACGGUGCUCGAAUGGAGGCCCUAAUGUGAAUGGAGACUAGCCUGCUGGUAGAGACCUUGGCAGUGACCGCUGUGGGCAAUGAGCCAUGGGCCAACAAUAUUCAAUGCUGUGUACCUGAUGGAUGGUUACUGUCUGAGACUGAGGCUUUUUGGGCCAGGAGUAAAAGGACUUGGUUUGUACUUGAUUGCGUCCUGUGGAUGCUUGCCUACCAACUGACUCAUCCUGACGUGCCAAAGGUCCUGGCUUUCCCCUGUGUGGGUAAGGGAAGAAGAGAGUUCUGUGAGUAAUAGCUUCGGUUGUAUGUUCUUGGCUUGGGAAGUUGACUCAUGAGUGGGUGUUGCUUGCAUUUUUCUAAGGUAAAAAAAAUGGUUAUAAUUCAUAAGCAAAAUUUAUAAAUGCCAGUGUUAGGCAGUGAUAGGAACAUCAUCAGACUAAGGCCUGAUAAUUAAUAUGAUUUAGCACUAUGAAAAA
RNAcentral lists this long non-coding RNA (859 nucleotides) under Mus musculus (house mouse). Its description in RNAcentral is "RNA imprinted and accumulated in nucleus". Lineage: Eukaryota; Metazoa; Chordata; Mammalia; Rodentia; Muridae. The record is from RNAcentral.